Molecule: ribosomal RNA, 724 nt
Filed under: uncultured bacterium
Lineage: Bacteria
Description: bacterial SSU rRNA
Rfam family: Bacterial small subunit ribosomal RNA
Source: RNAcentral
UGNUCUGUCACUGACGCUGAGGCUCGAAAGCGUGGGUAGCGAACAGGAUUAGAUACCCUGGUAGUNCACGCCGUAAACGAUGAGUGCUAGGUGUUAGGUCCUUUCCGGGACUUAGUGCCGCAGCUAACGCAAUAAGCACUCCGCCUGGGGAGUACGACCGCAAGGUUGAAACUCAAAGGAAUUGACGGGGGCCCGCACAAGCGGUGGAGCAUGUGGUUUAAUUCGAAGCAACGCGAAGAACCUUACCAGGUCUUGACAUCCCGAUGCCCGCUCUAGAGAUAGAGUUUUUCUUCGGAACAUCGGAGACAGGUGGUGCAUGGUUGUCGUCAGCUCGUGUCGUGAGAUGUUGGGUUAAGUCCCGCAACGAGCGCAACCCUUAUUGUUAGUUGCCAUCAUUGAGUUGGGCACUCUAGCGAGACUGCCGGUAAUAAACCGGAGGAAGGUGGGGAUGACGUCAAAUCAUCAUGCCCCUUAUGACCUGGGCUACACACGUGCUACAAUGGUUGGUACAACGAGUCGCAAGCCGGUGACGGCAAGCUAAUCUCUGAAAGCCAGUCUCAGUUCGGAUUGUAGGCUGCAACUCGCCUACAUGAAGUCGGAAUCGCUAGUAAUCGCGGAUCAGCACGCCGCGGUGAAUACGUUCCCGGGCCUUGUACACACCGCCCGUCACACCACGAGAGUUUGUAACACCCAAAGUCGGUGAGGCAACCAUAUAGGAGCCAGC